AGCGAACGCUGGCGGCAUGCUUAACACAUGCAAGUCGCACGAAGGUUUCGGCCUUAGUGGCGGACGGGUGAGUAACGCGUAGGAAUCUAUCCAUGGGUGGGGGGAUAACUCUGGGAAACUGGAGCUAAUACCGCAUGAUACCUGAGGGUCAAAGGCGCAAGUCGCCUGUGGAGGGAGCCUGCGUUUGAUUAGCUUGUUGGUGGGGUAAUGGCCUACCAAGGCGAUAAU
RNAcentral lists this ribosomal RNA (228 nucleotides) under uncultured bacterium. RNAcentral's name for it is "partial 16S ribosomal RNA". It matches the Rfam family "Bacterial small subunit ribosomal RNA", at positions 29 to 280 of the family's 1533-position model. The record is from RNAcentral.